Long non-coding RNA from Psammomys obesus (fat sand rat), 2539 nucleotides. RefSeq lists it as uncharacterized. The transcript is spliced from 3 exons. NCBI's taxonomy places the organism in Eukaryota, Metazoa, Chordata, Mammalia, Rodentia, Muridae. The record is from RefSeq and is a predicted model, not a curated record.
CUGUGUAUAGCCUUGGCUGUCUUGGAGCCUUGGACUCUGUCUGUAGACCAGGCUGGCCUUGGCUCACAGAGAUCCGCCUGCCUCUGCCUCCCUGAGUGCUGGGAUUAAAGACAUGCACCACCAUGCCCAAAUCCCAGCCUACUUUCAAAGUCAGAUGAGACUGGGCCCAGGCCACUGUGGUUGUAGAUCUUUGUACUGUCUCUGGCUUUACUCUCAGAGGCAUGCUAGCUUUGUAAAAUGAACUGGAAGUGUCCCCUCUUCUAUUUUCUGAAAGAGAGUGUGUAGAAAUUGAGCCGACUCUUCUUUCAACAUUUGGUAAAUUCUCCAGUGAAACCAUCUGGGAUUGGAGACUUCAUUCCUUGAACGCUGCUUCCCCAAAGCCUUGGCCACCUUCUCCAGGGGAUGCCCCACAGAUGGAGUCAGUCUGGACCUCAAACAGAACACCAUCCUGACCAUGCAGGCGGAAACUCAGGGGAUUUCACAGAACAGACAAGCCUUGGCGAUCCCUGAAGUGUCCUGGGGCCAGCUCAGACACUGAAGUCUCGACCUCCCAAGGAUGGGAGGUGCGGCUCUGGGGGAGGUCACUAAGCUCCUGAGUGGGGCAGGCACUCGAGGGUGCCUCUGCUCAGACUUGAUGGAGGAGGGCGGACUGUCCAGUGACUGGAAUCCCAGACUAAUGAAAAGAGAAAAAGGAGAAAGCGGCCACGGACCAGCGUUUUCCCCACCCUCCCCUCACUUCUCAUCCGCUGAGAUUUGAAGAGCCCCAGCUGUAUGCUCCUGCCUCCAUGGUGGCCAUGAUGCCCACAUAGCCCCUUCUUAAACCAGGCCCGGAAGACCUUCCUCCUCCCUUAGGCCAUGCUGCCAGGCAUUUUGUCUCAGCAGGAAGAAGAUAAGAGGACAGUGUGACUCGUGCCCGUAAAGAAGUGGCCACAGAGAGAUCCUCGCCUCCUCCACUCUGAGGACACGGCCAGGAGCACCGCCAAGGAGCCAGAAAACUCGGCAGCAAAUCUGCCUGCAUUUUGAUUUAGGACUUCCAGUUUGCCGAAUGUGGAGAAAUCAUUUCUGUCAUUUGCCAGCCACUUAGCCUAUGUAUUAUAAUGCAAAAACCCAAGUGAACUACAGAGUCAAAAUCGUGGACUUCGGGCCUAGAAUGGACUGACUGAAUAAGCCCUCAUAGGAUGGACUCAAGCAGCCUGGAUCGAGAGAUGUUGUGUGGAGGACGACUGGAUUGUAAACUGAGUCUGUCCGCUCUCACAAACAGGAAAGGAGCUUGGGAAAGCUUGCCGAAGCUUAGUGGCUUAGUGAAGGCGCAGUGAAGAAUCAUAAUCCUAAGCUGUGGUCCCGUGUGUCUGGUGGGUCUGUAAUUCCCUCUGCUUCAAGAUCUCUGCAAACAACGUAGCUGACUUCAGUCUCCCCCUGUAAAAUCGGGAGAGUGCCGCCUGCGUCAUCAGACUGUUGGAAGUCAGGGGUCGUUGCAUUUGAAGGGUUUGCGGCAUAGAAUGACAAUAUCUUGCCACACGUGUGCGCGACCUUCAUCAUCCUCAUCAUCACCCUCAUUGCCUCCACCCCAGAUAUCACAACCACCAUGCCCAGCCAUCUGACCACCACAACCGUCACCACUGUCGCUACUGCCACCGCCAGCAGCAGCACCUCCAUCACAGCUGCUAUUGCCGCUGCUCUCAUCGUCAGCACUGCCAUGGCUGCCAUCAUUGGAAGGAGCAGGACAGAGGAGCAUCCUUUGCACUGAUAUCAGUGUGUAAGUGGUAAUCAGACUAAUUUGAUCAAACCUGGUAAAGGCAAAAGCUAAUAAUAGCAGCAGAUGUGUCAUUAGUUAUUGAAGCCAGUAAAAAAAAAAAAAAAAAAAUCCAAAUAGUGUUUUACACAUUCAUUAUUUUCCUUCUUCAGGGACCAUCAGGGCUCCUCCCCCUCCUUCUUCACUUUCUUCCUCUUUCACCUCUGCAUCCUUAAUGGACCAUGACUAACUGGAAUUCUUUCUGGAAUGAGUAAAAGCUGGGAAGCAGGGGAGAUAGCCCAUAAUGAGACUUUAAAAAUACAUCUCCACAUAGUUGAAAUAGUUCAGUAGCUUCCCAGAGAGGCCAGCUUCUCUGCCAUACUUUAACUAGUCAGUACAACCCUGGGUACUCCAGAGACCAGGACAAUAGGAUUCUGAGGCUCUGAACACCAGGAUUCCAGGAUGCUCACCAGUGCUGGAUAGGCUGUCACUCAUCUCUUCAUCCAGGCAUGGUGUGGAGCUGAAGGACGGAUACUCUUCAACUAUGCUCUGGGGUGAGACUGAUUGGCCUCAGGAAACCCUCUCUCCUAUUCUCCUUCGGGUUCAAUAAAAAACAUACACCUCUAUGUCUCUAAAAGCAACACAGAGGCAAUACAAAAAACAAAAACAAACAAAAAAAACCCAAUUCUUUCCAUAGGACCAGAAAGAAAAUGAAAAUUGCUUUUAGCGGUCAGUGUCUAAAAAUGCUGUGAGAAAGAUUUUCCUGGGAGCCAGUGACAGUGCAGAACUGGGAGAAACCCUGGAGUU